UACGACUACAUAUCAGGCAUAUCAAUAAGCGGAGGAAAAGAAACUAACAAGGAUUCCCUUAGUAACGGCGAGUGAAGCGGGAAGAGCUCAAAUUUGAAAUCUCCAAGGUUCUACCUUGACGAAUUGUAGUUUAAAGAAGUGUUUUCUGUUAGAUGAGUAGCAAAAGUUCCUUGGAAUGGGACAUCAUAGAGGGUGAGAAUCCCGUAUUUGGUUAUUCAUUCUAGCUUUGUGAUACACUUUCAAAGAGUCGGAUUGUUUGGGAAUGCAGUCCAAAAUGGGUGGCUAAAUUUCAUCUAAAGCUAAAUAUUGGCGAGAGACCGAUAGCGAACAAGUACCGUGAGGGAAAGAUGAAAAGAACUUUGAAAAGAGAGUUAAACAGUACGUGAAAUUGUCAAAAGGGAAGCGUUUGACACCAGUGUUGUUUUUCCGAAAAUCAAUUACGAAUGGCUUGAUUUUGUGUUGUAUUGACCUUAUCAGCUUUCUGCACUUUUUUCGAGUCUUUCUUAAUGCACUUUUCGGUUAACAAGUCAACAUCAAUUUCUUUUGUUGUAAAAGAGUAUUCGGAAGGUGGCUUUCUUUUCGGAGAAAGUGUUUAUAGCCCUAUACUUCUACAAUCGGAGAGAUUGAGGUCUGCAGCGUAGAUCCUUCGAGGUUAGAUACACUUGUGCUAAGUUGUAGCUUUUCAUAGACAACUUGUUGACUAUGUUUAGUCAUGCGGCUUACUCGCUUGUGCUAUUUUACCUACGCUUAGGAUGUUGAGUAGCGACAUACGCAC
Molecule: ribosomal RNA, 775 nt
Filed under: uncultured Neocallimastigales
Lineage: Eukaryota; Fungi; Neocallimastigomycota; Neocallimastigomycetes; Neocallimastigales
Description: partial large subunit ribosomal RNA
Rfam family: Eukaryotic large subunit ribosomal RNA
Source: RNAcentral